ACGAACGCUGGCGGCGUGCUUAACACCUGCAAGUCGCACGGAAAGGCCCUGCUUUUGUGGGGUGCUCGAGUGGCGAACGGGUGAGUAACACGUGAGUAACCUGCCCUUGACUUUGGGAUAACUUCAGGAAACUGGGGCUAAUACCGGAUAGGAGCUCCUGCUGCAUGGUGGGGGUUGGAAAGUUUCGGCGGUUGGGGAUGGACUCGCGGCUUAUCAGCUUGUUGGUGGGGUAGUGGCUUACCAAGGCUUUGACGGGUAGCCGGCCUGAGAGGGUGACCGGCCACAUUGGGAUUGAGAUACGGCCCAGACUCCUACGGGAGGCAGCAGUGGGGAAUAUUGCACAAUGGGCGGAAGCCUGAUGCAGCAACGCCGCGUGCGGGAUGACGGCCUUCGGGUUGUAAACCGCUUUCGCCUGUGACGAAGCGUGAGUGACGGUAAUGGGUAAAGAAGCACCGGCUAACUACGUG
Molecule: ribosomal RNA, 467 nt
Filed under: uncultured bacterium
Lineage: Bacteria
Description: partial 16S ribosomal RNA
Rfam family: Bacterial small subunit ribosomal RNA
Source: RNAcentral